UACAGAGGUCCCGAGCGUUGUUCGGAUUCACUGGGCGUAAAGGGUUCGUAGGUGGCAUUGUAAGUUUGAUGUGAAAGCUCAGGGCUUAACCCUGAAAUGGCGUUGAAUACUGCGGUGCUGGAGGUUUGGAGGGGGGACUGGAAUUCUUGGUGUAGCAGUGAAAUGCGUAAAUAUCAGGAGGAAUACCGAUGGCGAAGGCAGGUCUCUGGGCUAUAACUGACGCUCAUGCACGAAAGCGUGGGGAGCAAACAGG
RNAcentral lists this ribosomal RNA (253 nucleotides) under uncultured bacterium. RNAcentral's name for it is "partial 16S ribosomal RNA". It matches the Rfam family "Bacterial small subunit ribosomal RNA", at positions 524 to 776 of the family's 1533-position model. The record is from RNAcentral.